AGGGAAUCUUCCGCAAUGGACGAAAGUCUGACGGAGCAACGCCGCGUGAGUGAAGAAGGCCUUCGGGUCGUAAAACUCUGUUGCCGGGGAAGAACAAGUGCCGUUCGAACAGGGCGGUGCCUUGACGGUACCCGGCCAGAAAGCCACGGCUAACUACGUGCCAGCAGCCGCGGUAAUACGUAGGUGGCAAGCGUUGUCCGUAAUUAUUGGGCGUAAAGCGCGCGCAGGCGGCUUCUUAAGUCUGAUGUGAAAUCUUGCGGCUCAACCGCAAGCGGUCAUUGGAAACUGGGAGGCUUGAGUGCAGAAGAGGAGAGUGGAAUUCCACGUGUGGCGGUGAAAUGCGUAGAGAUGUGGAGGAACACCAGUGGCGAAGGCGACUCUCUGGGCUGUAACUGACGCUGAGGCGCGAAAGCGUGGGGAGCAAAC
Molecule: ribosomal RNA, 426 nt
Filed under: uncultured bacterium
Lineage: Bacteria
Description: bacterial SSU rRNA
Rfam family: Bacterial small subunit ribosomal RNA
Source: RNAcentral